AAUAUGAAAAAAUAAAAAAUUGCAAACAAAAAAAAUUCAAUAUUAGGACUUUAUAAGAAUUGCUUAGUAUGUAUUGCUGCUGCCACUGCUGCCACUGCUGCUGUUGCUGCUGUGCUGCAAAUUUCAAUAAAGAAUUUGCCCCUCCUUUUUGUGUGCUGUUGAUGCAAUUGAAUUUAACUU
Molecule: small RNA, 180 nt
Filed under: Aristerostoma sp. ATCC 50986
Lineage: Eukaryota; Ciliophora; Colpodea; Cyrtolophosidida; Cyrtolophosididae
Description: partial transfer-messenger RNA
Source: RNAcentral